This 237-nucleotide small nuclear RNA is filed under the name Vulpes vulpes (red fox). Its description in RNAcentral is "7SK RNA (ENSVVUG00000006718.1)". It matches the Rfam family "7SK RNA". Rfam says of the family: 7SK was discovered as an abundant small nuclear RNA in the mid-70s but a possible function has only recently been suggested. Two independent studies have found that 7SK RNA binds the CDK9/cyclin T complex (known as elongation factor P-TEFb). P-TEFb activates transcription by phosphorylating the C-terminal domain of RNA polymerase II. The record is from RNAcentral. Lineage: Eukaryota; Metazoa; Chordata; Mammalia; Carnivora; Canidae.
AGAUAUGAGGGUGAUCUGGCUUGCCAGGCAGGCAUCCCCUUCCUUCCUCAUUGCUCAUGUGCAUCCCUUCUGAAGCUGUGUACUUGGUCAAAGAGGACAAUUGUUCUUUCGUCAAGGGUGUACAAUUAGCUGCGCUCCUCUGUUGGAACCUCCAAAUGAGCUCUCAAGAAAGCCAACAGUUGGGGCAAGUUAUAUGGGCAGCCCUGGUGACACAGCGGUUUGGUGCCGCCUGCAGCC